AUGCUCAGGAAACAAUUGGGGCACUUUGAGCCACAAGGACUGCGGGCAAGCUCUGCCCAGAUUGCUGGGGAAGGAGUAGUGGGGAGACCCAGAAAUCACACUGACAUUACUGAAGCCAUCACCUCACACCUGGGAGAGUCACAAGACCAACCAUUUUCUUCUUGCCCCCCGGCAUGCCUGGAGACCAAAGCCUUUCAAGGGUUGCUAAUCCCUCAGCAAAGGCAGAACAGGAGGAAAUGGCAUUUCUCUAAGCUAAGGGUUUUUUCCCCCCCAGACUUACAAGGAAAAAAAUCGGAGAAAAAAAAUUGAGAAAACUAUGAACACUUAUUUUCUAAGGGCAUUUCUCUUUCAGGGUAAAAAUAACAUAAUGCUCCCUGGCCUCUGUGUCUACCAUCAAGAGAUGAUGGCCUCACCUCUACCAUCUUCCCUGAGGAACCCCUAAGAACGGCCGAGAGUUCGCUGGACCUUGUGUGUGCCAUUGUCGUAAGGGGAGAUCUGGGUGGCUUUGAAAUGUGCCCUGUUUCUGCUAUUUACUUAGGGAAGCACACUGAGUUGUCUUUCUCCCUAGCCAGUGAAUAAAAUCUGAAAGUAUUAAAUUUAAUGUGUAAGACCGAGAAGUAUGAAACCUGAUAUUUGUGUGUCCCAGCAAGCAUUACCUAACACUACAUCAAGGCUGAUUUCCAGAGACUGUCAGUACCUAAAAGGAUGCUCUACUCUGGCCACAGAAAAGCAGUUUUAAUAUCGAGUCAUUCUGAUGAAGGCUUCGUGAGAAAAUGAGGUGUGCUUCAGUUCCCAGAACCUCAGAGCUGGGAAACAGCAACUCCUUAGAGUAGGGGUUGCCAAAGUUUUUCUGUCAAGGAGUUGACAUUUUAGGCUUUGUGGGUGGAGGCAAAAUUGAGCAACUAUUCUCACUGAAAGCACUUUUUUACAUUUUACAAUUUAAGUUUAAAAUGCAAAAACUGUAAUUAGCUCUCAGGCUGUACAAAACUUGCGGCAGUCUGGAUUUGAGCAGCAGGUGGAUCUUCCGAGUCCCUCUGUAGCGGCCUCAUGGGUGCCUGUCUGUACUUAGCGUAUAUUCCUCUAAGCUACAGGAAACUCACCACCUCCCAAGGUCACUGAAUCUGUUUUAAAGGAGGCUAAAACACUUUUUUAUACUGAGCUAGAAUUUGCCUACUGCAUAUUAUAACUGAAGAAUUACUUUAAGAACUGAUUUAAAUUAUUUUAAGAAUUGAUUUAAAUUUCUAGAAAUAGUUUUUGUUGGAAAUUAUUCUCUAUUACCUAUUCUCCUGCCUAGUAGCCAUGUUGCAAAGUGGUCUUCGUGUGUUUGAGUCAUUAGGAAAAUAAAUUACGGUAUUGUGCUGUAAUGCAAAGAAACCCUCGAGACCACUGGGGUUUACUAAUCUAUUUGCCUUUAUACUAAAUGUCUCCACUGCCCUGCUCUAUGAAUUCUUGUUUCUUUUUUUCAGUUUUUCUACCUGAUUACUUAUUACAGGGAUGCUAUCCGUGUCUCUUCUUAUUGUUGUCUGUGUGCCUACUGAAACAGUUCACCUCCUAAUUAAAUGUUUCUCAUCGGCCGGGUGCGGCGCGGUGGCUCACGCCUGUAAUCCCAGCACUUUGGGAGGCCGAGGCGGGUGGAUCACGAGGUCAAGAGAUCGAGACCAUCCUGGUCAACAUGGUGAAACCCCAUCUCUACUAAAAAUACGAAAAAAUUAGCUGGGCAUGGUGGCGCGUGCCUGUAAUCCCAGCUACCCGGGAAGCUGAGGCAGGAGAAUUGCCCGAACCCAGGAGGUGGAGGUUGUGGUGAGCCGAGAUCGCGCCAUUGCACUCCAGCCUGGGUAACAAGAGCGAAACUCCGUCUCAAAAUAAAUAAAUAAAUAAAUAAAAUGUUUCUCAUCUUCCCUUAUCUAAAAGUAGCUCUCCAUAAGAAAAGACCCCAGGAGCCCUGGGGCCUUUGGUAUUUGACGCGAGAACUUUCAUCAAUUAAAGUAUUUAAACCACUUGGAGGCUCGCUCUUUCACUGUCUCUGUCUCUCUCUCACACCCCCUCAAUACUAGGCAGGCUUUUGAGUAAAUGUGAAAGUUUUCUAAAAGUUAUUAUUACCAUCUGUGAAUUUUGCUGACUACAAAUUCCUUGAGGGCAAGCGACUUCCUUUGAACUUCACGGCUUUAGAUCCCAAGCCAGUGCUUCGCAUACAGUAGAAGUUGGAUAAACGGUUCUGAAAGAAUAAGAGGUUUGAGGGUCGUGCUAAUUUGAUUUGCUUCAGCAUAGCUCAACUUUUAGUGGAGGUUUAUUGUGUUUGUUUUAUUAACACUACGAUUAGGGCUAUUAAAUAAUAUAGCUUAGAAACUAAAAGAAAUCAACCCUCAGGGGUAUCAUUUGAUAUAAAUAGAGGCAGGCAAUUUCCAGUAUGAUCUCUAGUUCUGCAGACCCAACUCGGGCUCUCGUGAAACCUGAACCUAUGGGAUUUAUGUAAAUGUGAACAGGCUGCCCUGGGCUCGUGGAUCAGCUGUGUAGAAGUGGCCUGUUUGUCGUUCAGAUGUUGGGAGGUAACAGUGAGCUUUAACUAAUUACACCUCAAAUCACCCCCAGGAGGUAGGUAAUGAUUAUAGAUGUACUUGGCUGAAGUAAC
This 2629-nucleotide long non-coding RNA is filed under the name Callithrix jacchus (white-tufted-ear marmoset). RNAcentral describes it as "lncRNA (ENSCJAG00000075569.1)". Lineage: Eukaryota; Metazoa; Chordata; Mammalia; Primates; Cebidae. The record is from RNAcentral.